UACGUAGGGUGCAAGCGUUAUCCGGAAUUAUUGGGCGUAAAGAGCUCGUAGGCGGUUUGUCACGUCUGCUGUGAAAACUGGAGGCUCAACCUCCAGCCUGCAGUGGGUACGGGCAGACUAGAGUGCGGUAGGGGAGAUUGGAAUUCCUGGUGUAGCGGUGGGAUGCGCAGAUAUCAGGAGGAACACCGAUGGCGAAGGCAGAUCUCUGGGCCGUAACUGACGCUGAGGAGCGAAAGCAUGGGGGAGCGAACAGG
RNAcentral lists this ribosomal RNA (254 nucleotides) under uncultured bacterium. RNAcentral describes it as "partial 16S ribosomal RNA". It matches the Rfam family "Bacterial small subunit ribosomal RNA", at positions 524 to 776 of the family's 1533-position model. The record is from RNAcentral.